CCCUACCCUCCAGCCACACGUAGAGGGCCACAGACAAUUCAUAAAUGAAUCAGCACCACUCUGUUCCAGUAAAACUUUAUAACAACAGCUGGACUAGGUCCGUGGGCAGGACUUUAUUUACCAAGCCGGUUUUAGAUCUCAGCAUCUCGGUUCUCCUACAUCUCAGCUUCAUGCCCUGGAUUAUUUUAGUUGCUUUCUGAGGUUUCCUGCUCCAUUGUGUCUUCCUGGGGUUCCAGCAGGCACAUUGCAAACUGAACAGACCAUGUGUUACAUGAGCAUAACAUCUUCUGCUAGCUUUCCUGUCUGUGUCCAGGGUUUCGUUGAUUUUUGCACCGUGUAGUUGCUUGUUUGCGGGAAGUGAUGUUCCAGUGGCUGUUGGAUUUCUUUGUAUCUAUGUUGUAAUCCAUAGCAUGGGGGAGCCUGUCAUCCUUAAUAUAUUUUGCGUUAUUUUCUUACUAUUUCAUUUGCCUCUGUUGAGGCUCAGCUUCCAGACUCACAGCAUUGUUCUUUUAGAUUUAUUGGAUUUAUGGCUGUCAGUUAGCAGAGCUAAAUGCGAUCAGUGAAUCUGGAGAUGCGCCCAAGUUCUUUCUUUGCAAAUCAUUUGUAAGAAUGAUAGGACCAAUCUUACCAUUAACUUCUGUGUUCUCUUCUGUCUGCCCUUCUCUUUCCAGAACUGUACACAUUUAGUCAGACUCUUUGUUACUGUCUUUCUGGGCUGCUUUUCUAUUUCUUCUGAAACAUUCCCAAAUCUGUCGUGAUUCAGUCUUUUAAAUAACAAAAACUUAAGUAAAAGUAACAAUUUUUUAAAAUAUAUAUAUUUUAGGUCCACACAUGCAGCAUGUGAAAGUUCCCAGGCUAGGGGUCAGAUCAGAGCUACAGCUGCCAGCCUGUGCCACAGCCACAGCAAUGCCAGGUCCAAGGCCAAGGAUGGAACCUGCAUCCUCAUGGAUACUAGUCCGGUUCAUUACCACUGAGCCACAGUGGGAACUCUUGUAACAAUUAUAUUUUUUACACAACAUAUAUUCAGCAGUGUGCUGGGGGUAACAUCCCACUGGCUCCCACAGUCUUUUCUCCUUUUCAUGAGUCCCUAUAACUAGUGUCUUAUUUGAUAGUGAACCAUCCAAGCACCCAAACAAGUCAGUUUUCAUAGUGAAUGUUUUAUAAGGAAGUACAUUUUGCCAUAAGCUCCUGCUGUGAGCAAUUUUUUACUUGCCUUAUUGGUGAAAAGCGAAUAUCUCCUAGUUUUAUGACAACAUCUGUAUGAGAACAAAUUGUCACGGAAAGGGGAAGCAAACAUGCUCAUAGCUUUAAGCUUUUUGCAGUUUGAAAGUUUUGUAGCAACUUUCCUCAUUAUUACCUGUGAGUCCUGCUCUCCUUUCUCCUAAAAAAUAUGCACACCUAACACCCUGGACUGUCUUAAUUUAAGUAGAAACGUGUGCUCGGAAGCAAGUUGCUUGCAUGCAUACAAUCGCUUGUCUGGUAGCUAGUCACGUGCGAUAACCUAGUCUUAUUCUUUCCAAGAUUCAAUUGCUAGAGGUUGCCUGUGGCCAAGAGAAGGUUUUGCCACAUGAUGUGAAAAAUUCCUAGGAUGCCCUUCUGUUUUUCAUGGUGAAGGAUUUCAAGACAUGUUGUAUCUGCUUGUGUUAUACACAUGCUGUGGCCUCUUUUAGCACCAACUCAGUCCUUUGUUUAGUGAAAGUGGGGUGUGAAGAGCGAUGCUGGAAUAAAUCUGUAUUUCCUCGGGUGGGUCCGUGUUGAGUCUCGUCAACCCAGCAUCUCCACAAAGAGCUUGAAAAUCUGUGAAAAUCCAGUUAGUUCUCCUCGUUAAACAUCAAGACUUAUCUGCCCUGCUGUGUGCCUUUUACGUGAUAAAUGUGCCGCAACUCCUGCUUUAAUGUGAAGAGAAAGGCCAUGGUUUAGCCCUUGAGAAGAUUCUCACAUCAAUAGAUGGGUGCAGGAUGCUCAGAGGUACAGGCCGACUUAGUUGUGUUGGGUCCACUAGAAAGAGCACUUGUACAGAAGCUGAGACCCAAGCCCUCUGCUUGGAGGCUUUAAUCUAUUCAUUUACCCUCCAUACUUCCUUCUGCUGGCUGCUUGCUUUUGUUUUUAUGUGAGUGAAAGGAGAUAAUUCAGUUGGAAGGGGGUAAGAACAUGAAGCUGUGCAAAGAUGGUAAGAAUGCCAGUGUUCGUCCUGUGUCCCACGUGGACGUCGCACCAGCCGUGGAGGUGAAAGAAGUGGGGGUUCUGGCUGGCCCCUGGCCCCCUUAAAGAAAACUUGGCUUCUUUGCCUGCAUUUACCCCUUUAGACUGUCCUGGAAGUCAGCAGUCACCUGGAUGCCUCCCCACCCCCCGCCCCAUCCAGCCCUGGUAUAGACAGUAGGUGAUUGUGCUGCUAGACAACCUAAGGGCUGGGUCAUGGGCUUGCCUCGUCACAUCCCCCUGUCACAAGGCUGCUGCUUGGGAGGGACAUCUGGCCUGGUUCCUAGAUAACUGGCAAAAAGCGAGUUACAUACUUUGUGAAAAGGAAGCCCUUUGCAGGGUCCGCUGCUCCAUUUGUCCUCGAUGUGGGUCCGAACUGCACGUGUUUCUAAGGGGCUGAUGUAAGCGUCCGGGUGGCGUUUGACACCACUUCACUGCUCUAACAUUGCAGAAAGUAAAGUUAUCAGAUGAGCCCGUAGAAGCAAAAGAAGAUUACACUAAGUUUAACAGGAAAGAUCUGAAGACUGUAAAGAAAAAUAGCAAAAUGACUGCAUCUCAGAAGGCUUUGGCUAAAGUUGACAAGAGUGGAAUGAAAAGUAUCGAUUCCUUUUUUGGGGCAAAACUUGUUAAAAAAGUUGGAAAGAUCUGAAACUUUGAACAUGAAAUCUAGCAAAAACACUCGCCUUCUACAUGUUCCGUUUUCAUCCUUCCUCCAUGCCGUUGUACUUCCUGACCCUUAAUUGCCACCUUUGGGGGAAAAAGUACGAAUAAGGGGCAUUUUUCAGAGUCACUUGACCAUUUCUUUGUGUUCGAUUUCUGUGUUCCUAACAAAAUGUGGGAAAGUAAUGGUAUAACCUCAUGGCUUGUGGCCUUUGGAGUUUUAUUUGACAUCAUGAAAAAUAAUCAAGGGAAUAGAGUCAACCUCUGGCAUCGCAGGUUCCUCAAUAAACUGACGUGUGACAGUA
This 3164-nucleotide long non-coding RNA is filed under the name Sus scrofa (pig). Its description in RNAcentral is "lncRNA (ENSSSCG00005032721.1)". Lineage: Eukaryota; Metazoa; Chordata; Mammalia; Artiodactyla; Suidae. The record is from RNAcentral.